This 492-nucleotide ribosomal RNA is filed under the name uncultured bacterium. RNAcentral describes it as "partial 16S ribosomal RNA". It matches the Rfam family "Bacterial small subunit ribosomal RNA", at positions 29 to 507 of the family's 1533-position model. The record is from RNAcentral.
AGUGAACGCUGGCGGUAGGCCUAACACAUGCCAGUCGAACGGCAGCACAGUAGGAGCUUGCUCUUACGGGUGGCGAGUGGCGGACGGGUGAGGAAUACAUCGGAAUCUACUUUUUCGUGGGGGAUAACGUAGGGAAACUUACGCUAAUACCGCAUACGACCUACGGGUGAAAGCAGGGGAUCUUCGGACCUUGCGCGAUUGAAUGAGCCGAUGUCGGAUUAGCUAGUUGGCGGGGUAAAGGCCCACCAAGGCGACGAUCCGUAGCUGGUCUGAGAGGAUGAUCAGCCACACUGGAACUGAGACACGGUCCAGACUCCUACGGGAGGCAGCAGUGGGGAAUAUUGGACAAUGGGCGCAAGCCUGAUCCAGCCAUACCGCGUGGGUGAAGAAGGCCUUCGGGUUGUAAAGCCCUUUUGUUGGGAAAGAAAAGCAGCAGGUUAAUACCCCGCUGUUCUGACGGUACCCAAAGAAUAAGCACCGGCUAACUUCGUG